RNAcentral lists this unclassified non-coding RNA (474 nucleotides) under Moritella viscosa. RNAcentral describes it as "putative sRNA". The record is from RNAcentral. Lineage: Bacteria; Pseudomonadati; Pseudomonadota; Gammaproteobacteria; Alteromonadales; Moritellaceae.
GUAGUUGUGAUGAGUUUUCUAUAAUUCACUCACUCUUACAAUCAAGGAUUUAUAAGCUGUUACCUUGGUAGUUGGAGACUAUUGUUAUUACGUUAGUUAUCCUUUGUACGGUUUUAUAGCGUAGUGCAUUUUUAAAGAGGGAUGAAAGAUGAAGUGCUGUGAAAAUGCGAUAGUGAAAAGAGUGAAUCGAAAUUGGUUUGAAAAAUUAUUUUAUAGCAGCAUUCAUAAAUGUAAUCACUGCGGUAAGGUGUUUAAACUUAAAGCGGGCUAAGUAUUAUUAAAAACAAAGAUUAGAGAAUAACAGUUUAAUAAUAACAACGAACUGAAAGGUCGUUUAUGAAGGUCAUAUAGAGCUCAGGCUUAAUUCGAUCAAUUAUUGGUAUUCGCUUUCUGCAUCCCAUCUAAAUUCAAUCAUUCUUGUUCAUACACUAUGUUAUAAGCGACAUCAGUUGCUUUUGAUUUCAAGCUUUCAUC